GACGGAGGAUGCAAGUGUUAUCCGGAAUCACUGGGCGUAAAGCGUCUGUAGGUGGUUUAAUAAGUCAACUGUUAAAUCUUGAGGCUCAACCUCAAAAAUCGCAGUCGAAACUAUUAGGCUAGAGUAUAGUAGGGGUAAAGGGAAUUUCCAGUGGAGCGGUGAAAUGCGUAGAGAUUGGAAAGAACACCGAUGGCGAAGGCACUUUACUGGGCUAUUACUAACACUCAGAGACGAAAGCUAGGGUAGCAAAUGGG
Molecule: ribosomal RNA, 254 nt
Filed under: uncultured bacterium
Lineage: Bacteria
Description: partial 16S ribosomal RNA
Rfam family: Bacterial small subunit ribosomal RNA
Source: RNAcentral